Molecule: transfer RNA, 61 nt
Filed under: Kolla paulula
Lineage: Eukaryota; Metazoa; Arthropoda; Insecta; Hemiptera; Cicadellidae
Description: tRNA-Cys
Source: RNAcentral
AGUUUUAUAGUUUAAAUAAAACAUUAAAUUGCAAAUUUAAUAAUGGUAAUUCCUAAGACUU